CCACACACUUUACAGAACACACUUUACAGAACACAAACCUAUAUGUCAAAAGCCGGCCGCCCCUUUCUCGAUCUGGUUCACGAUUCGGAGGCAACAACGCAGGAGGAAGCUCCACCGCCUGUUGCCGAGGAGAAGCCACCGAAGAAGGAAGAAGAUAAGAAAUCAGAGCAAGGAGAUGAAGAGAAAGCCGGCCACCCCCUUUCUCUCAGACCGUCCAAGCCGUCAUUCCUCUUUCUCUCUAAGCCCCACCCUUCUACCGAAGCCACUGAGGGUUGAAUCGAUGGUCAGCGCAGCGUUAGAGUCGAGAAGAUAGCGGCACAGCUGAUUGGCGUCGAGAUUGAACAAGGAUUCGCCCCUUUCUCCAAUCCCUAACCCUAGCUCCCUCUCUCAUUCGAAGCCCUAAAUUCGAAGGACACGAAUUGAGGGUUUGGUAGUGCUGUAGCAGGAAGAGGAAUCAAACUGAAAUGGAGCAAUUUGAUGCCUCAAAGGAUUCGUCAAUGGGUGUAGUAGGUGAUUCUCAGUUUGCUUGAACAGAAAAAGGCUGCAAUUCGCCUUGGGGUCCCACAAAACUCCAGGUACUCUCCCGCAUUUUCUCUAUCUUCUCGAUCCUUGUUUGUGUGUAUGUGUGUGUUUUGGUGAUCAAUAAUUUUAUUCAUACACGACCAUUUUUGUUUGCCUAAUAAGUUAUACCAUUUGCUUGGAGGAUAUGGGUUGUUCUUUAUUUCACGAUUGUACAUAUUUGUGAUGUAUGUUACAAUUGUCCUUGGGCUUUGUUAUCAUAUACAGAGUCUCUGUUUCUUUUUCAUACUUUGAUAUUCAAAUUUAAUUUCUAUACUGGGAUUUCACUUAAUUUUGACUAUAAUGAAAAUGUUGCUGAUGCCGAUUGCAGUUGGCUGAAAUUUUUGUGUGAUUGGUUGUAGUUUUUUUUUUUUUUUUUUUUCUUCGGCAGGAAAAUACUAGUUUCAUUCCUUAUGAUGAUAAUGGUUGUUCACAAUUAGAGUUUUUCCUUUAAAAGUAUGAUGCUUUGUUUGAAAUUGAUAGAAUACUGGAUAAAAAAUGAACAAUUAGAAUCUUAUGUCUGGUUCGGAUCUGUGGUCUUUGUAGGAUUCAAAAGUUUUGUUUUCUGAAGAUAUUUCAAUGAUUACGAAAACACAAAAUUCAUGAAUUUCAAAACCCAUAAUCUGCUUGAAUUUAAAGCAAAAUUCAAAAAUCUAGUGUGCUUCCAGAUAGCAGUAGAUAGGGCAUCUGAAUUUUUUUUUUUUUUUUUUUUUUUGCGCACUUAUCUAGUUUAGUGUAUAAAUCAGUUUUUCAUCAUAUAUAUAUAUAUAUAUAUAUAUAUAUAUAUAUAUAUCCAUAGCUAUAUAUCUCUUAUUGCUCAUCUAUCUUUGAUAAGGAUAUCAAGUUUAAUAAAGUAUUGGAUGAUUAUAUAAUGCAUGUCUCCUAUAGUUAUCACAUUUUUUAAUGGUACUGAUCCAUGAUGUGUUAGUGUUCUUCAUUUCAAUAAAUUCAGGAAGAAUAUAUAGAUCCAACCAUAUUAAUUAUAUGUAUGUUUAAUGUAUAUAUAUGUGGUUGUUACCAAAUUAUAUAUAUCAGUCGAUCAAUGUAUGGAAUAUAAUUGUUUCCACCAAACAUUCCAAAAGGGAUUUGAGUUAAUUCCUACAAAAUUCAUGAACGAGUACUAUAUUGUUAUAUAAAUGGAAAUAUAAUUUAUUAUGUAUCCAAAAGUUAUACAUUUAUGUUGCAUUACAUGUAAAUUUUUACUAGUGUGCAUACAUGUGUAUGUGAAUAUUGUAAGUUAUAUGGUCUUUAUGUGCGAUAAAAUUCUUUUAUGAUUGCACAAUUUUAAUGCUUUUUAUACUCAUACUAAGGGGGGUCACGUGCCUUUAAGUGACCAAUUUUGCGGUGUAUCUUGAAUUUAAUUACCUUAUUGGUACAUCGGUCUGUGUGGAGGCCAUUUUUAUUUCUUGUUUUAAAAUGUUGAAAGCAUGGGAGUAUGGGAUCAUUUUAUGUGGAGGUUUUGAUUGAUUGUUGUGGAGAAGUUGUUGAUAUGUUGUCUAUAACUUUACUUAAAUUUUUUAGUUUUACAUGGAAUAGUAGUUUACUUAAAUUUUUUACUUUUACAUGGAAUAGUAGUUUGUCUUUGCAUGAAAAUUUUGAAGCCUUUCCAUCUAUUAUUGGAACCAUACUUUAUUUCACAAAUUUUAUUAGUUAAUGCUUUUUUAAUUCAUGUUAUAUUCUAUCUAAAACACUCACCAAGAAUAAUUGAAAUUUAGAAUUCAAAAACUUAUAAAUCCUAUGAAAAAUUAAUUAAGUUUCCAAGACAUUCUUAAUUGACAGAACAGAAAAAUUAAUUAAGUUUCCAAAACUUGUAUUCUAACUAAAGUUUUGUUCAAAUCCAAAUUUUAGUCGAUUCAAAUCUAUAAAAAUAAAAAAUAAAAAUAAAUAACUCCAAAUUUUCUCAUCAACCCCAUCUGUUAGGAAUGAUUUCCAAAACUCUUACUAGAAAUUGCAGAUGGAGAGAUCAUGACGAUGAUUAUUUAUGGUUUGGUAAUUAUUGCAAAGAAAAGAGAACCAGUAAGGUAGAAUCAUGAGUCCCCAAUACAUAACCCAACUCUGGUGUCGCACGUGUGAAUUCCUUAGCCAACUCUCUAGCGUUAAGUUCCUAAAUCUCCUUAUGUACAUCAUUUCUCUCCAGUGUUGCUAAUAAGGUCCAUUUUCUACAUUACAGUUAAUAUGUAAAAGGCUAUAUGUAUCAGUGUUACAAUCUCAUAAGUGGCCUUUAGAAGUCUCUGUGCUUCAUCCGUAUGAGCAAUACCAUCAAUAGGCUCUCGAGAGACUUGUUUCUUUGAAGAACUUCCAUGACCGGCUUUAGUUGAAACUUGAGAGUAGUGUGUAUUGGUAUUUCGGAAAUGGACUGGUUCAGUCCCUGGAAUUCCCAAGCUUGCAGAUUUCGAUGUCUUUGGCUCCAACAUGUUGCUAUUGUUCUGUCAUUAAAACAUUAACAUUGAUUUAAAUGUUAGCGAGGUCACAUAACAAAUGCAUCCAUCUUCCUAAGGAAGAUUUUGGUGCUUAGAAGCAUAAAACAUCUAUUUGCACACCCUCAAUUUGAGUACAAAAAAUAAAUUGAGUUGCAGACCUAUGUGAACGAGUGCAAGUGCGUGUGUAAGAUCAAGAGACAGACAGUGAGAGAAAGGGAGAGAGAGACCUGAUCAAUCGAGCGAUAUUGAGGUCUUUUAAGUGAUGUAUUUGAAGCAUUUGUAUCCUUUCCUGCAUCCAAUUAACCAAAUAAAAAAGUUGGAAACAUAAGCUAGCGAAUGGACCUUGUCCGAAAACAAACAUCUUGAUUGAGUUGGUAUAUAUAUAUGUAUAUAUAUGUUACCAAGUAACACACUACUAGGUUUAGAAAUGAAACUGAACAAUGGAAUUAAAACAGAAUUUUCUAAUAAAACCGAGCACCUUCAGCAUUAUAGUGAAUCAAUUCCUCUAGAAAUUGAGAUACGUGCAUUACAUAUAUUUAUUUCCACCUUUUCUCCAAGGCAUCAAUUGGGGUGAAGGGAAUUAAUUGAAAAAUUGGAAGAUAAAUUUUUUAGGUAAAUAAAAAAAUACUUACUGCUCCCAGCUGGGCAGAACAAAGAAGGAAUCAUCUGCCUUUUCAGGCUCUAUUACAAUACCCUGCUACAGAAAGCAAACAAUCAUAACUUAUGGCAAGAGUAAAAUAAAGGGGAAAAAAAAAGAAAAAAGAAUGGUACACGAUUUUACUUUAAGAGGUUUUCCACAACAAAAUGAAAAAAGUUGGAGAAGAAUGCUAGGCAUGUCAUAUUUAUGACAGAUACAUUAUAACCAAGAAGUAAUGCACAUGCUUAGAAUGAAUUCUUGGAAAGCGUUUUGCAAAUUGUUAUUCAUCUUUAUCUGUCUUCCUACUUUAUUGAAAGCUCAAUUUUACUUCUUUAACAAAGCAACUCUUAUUUGAUUCUCCUAAGACACAAUCCGUUUUACUUCAAUUAUUUAAAAACAAUUUUCAAUAAUUUGAAAUUAUUUAGAGAACUACAAAGGCUAUUUACUGAAAUUAAACAUUACUAUUAAACUAAGAUUUUCAUAGAACAAUUCUCAGAAAAUUAUCAACAAUUUCAAAAAAUGCUAGCAGCUGGUUCCCAGUCCUCGACCCAUCAACAGAAUUCUCUCUCAUGUUCUAUUCCCCACCUCUCUUUCUCUUCUUUCUAACUUGAAAUCUCCAUAUAUAGACUACAUUUAUAUAUAAACCAUUUGAUUUCCGAACCUACCAUACAUAUCACAUUAAUGUGUCAUCAUCAACCAGAUAAAAAAAUAAAAAUAAAUAGUAAAUACUAAUAAAUAAAAAACUGAACAAACAAACAAAACAAACAUUUACACAAAAAAAUAUGAGCAAAUACCAAAAUGCAUUUCUAAUGCUUAAGGUAUGAACUUUAGGGCAUGUCCAUCAUGAGGGCACUCUCACCAUGAGCACGCCCUCUCAACAAUUGAAUUGAAAGGCUUCUCUCAAUUCAAUGUCUGACCGUAGCUUUUUCCUAAAUUUCAAAUUUCAAUUUACAAUAAAUAAUUCGUUUUAGGUCGCAUAACCAGUAGUUCCAAAAUGGAAAAACCUAAGCUGGUUAGGUGUCUUACCGGUGAACCUUGUGCAAGCAACUUGGGACAGGUUUGGCUGACCAAACUUGGAGAAAAAGCAACUUACCAGGUUUAAAAUAGCAGCGUUCCACUGAACUUCUGAAAUAAAAAGUUAGUAUUUUGAUUUUUUUUUUUUUUUUUCACAGCUCACUGUUACUCAUUAGAAGACAUUUUCAGGGAAAACUUGUCAUCUGGAUAAACAAAAUUUUAGACAACAAAACAAGCCAUUCUACAAACCUAACUGAGAGUCUGGGAUAGCUGUUAAUAUUAGGUAGCCUUGUCUAGGACUCAAUGUCACAUAAUUUCUAUUUCCAAAUCCUCCAGUAAGUAUUGUUAUAUCAAAACAUGAAAAACUGUAAAUCAGAUAACUUUUAAGACUAACUAUUUUCCAAAUAUGGUUAUCAAUAACAACAAUGGCAAUAGGUAAAGAAACAUGAGAAGUAUAGUUAAUAUCUCCCAAAUAUAAUUCUGAUCAUGCUUCUCCAAGUUAUAUUUUAUGCAUGUUUAAAUAUUUAUAAGAACCAAGGACUGUAGGUUAACAAAAACAAAAAGACCCUCCACUUCUACUUUUUACAAGUAAAAAGACCAUUUUAAGUCAAAAAUGGUAUGAAAGAUAAGAAGUGACCUCUCAAUAAGAAGUGAGAUACCAAAAUAAGCAGUAAGCAAUAAAUUUUUGGUUAGAUCUAAUCACGUGAUAUCAGAAUAAAACAGAAAGGCGAAUGAAAGCACCUUAGCCAACAAAUUAUUCAAAUUAUUCACACUGGUAGACAGCUCUUAUGAUUCUUGUAUCCUUUGCUUUGUUGUUAUAGAUACUGCCAAGAUUGCUUAAUAUUGGGUCUCUCAGCAAACUAGUUGAGGAAAUUGUACAGAAUUGUUAUUUGUAGAUGGAAGCACGUGGUUUCAAGAUGAUAAUAUUAUUAUCUUGCACUUCUUUGUGACUUGCAUGAGCUAGAAGUUGCAAUGGGCUACAUAUUCAGGUGUUAUCAUUUACGUACCGGAUUUAAUCUCUACUCACCUAUAUGACUUCUUGUCAUCUUCAGAUUUAUUAGCUUUAUCGAUGCUAUGCCAGAAAAUUGACGCAGAUUUGUUUGUUAUCAUUAUUUGGUAGGCUGACAUGAUUGUUGUCCAUCCUUCUCCUUGUCGACAGGCUAGGAUUGCGGUUGCCGUUAUAUUUUUUGUUGCCGUUAUAUUUUUUGUAUGGCUCAUGAAAAAGUUGCAUAUAUGUAAUGGAAGAGAGACUAAAACAGAGCAAGAAGAUAUAAGAAUUUUUGUUUUAUUUUGGUAUGGCAUAAGAAGUUAGAAAUUUGUAUAUGGUUAAUUUUUGUAUAAAACAAUGAUUUGGAAUUGGUUAUAUAUAUAUAUAUAUAUAUAUAUAUGAUAUUGAUUAGUUGCAAGUUA
Long non-coding RNA from Cornus florida, 6039 nucleotides. RefSeq lists it as uncharacterized. The transcript is spliced from 3 exons. Lineage: Eukaryota; Viridiplantae; Streptophyta; Magnoliopsida; Cornales; Cornaceae. The record is from RefSeq and is a predicted model, not a curated record.